UCUAAUAUGGCAGAAUAGUGCAAUGAAUUUAAGAUUCAUUUAUAAAGAAAAAUCUUUUAUUGGAA
This 65-nucleotide transfer RNA is filed under the name Mesovelia hungerfordi. Its description in RNAcentral is "tRNA-Leu". It matches the Rfam family "tRNA". Rfam says of the family: Transfer RNA (tRNA) molecules are approximately 80 nucleotides in length. Lineage: Eukaryota; Metazoa; Arthropoda; Insecta; Hemiptera; Mesoveliidae. The record is from RNAcentral.